RNAcentral lists this ribosomal RNA (292 nucleotides) under uncultured bacterium. Its description in RNAcentral is "partial 16S ribosomal RNA". It matches the Rfam family "Bacterial small subunit ribosomal RNA", at positions 505 to 796 of the family's 1533-position model. The record is from RNAcentral.
GUUUCAGCAGCCGCGGUAAUACGAAGGGUGCAAGCGUUACUCGGAAUUACUGGGCGUAAAGCGUGCGUAGGUGGUUCGUUAAGUCUGAUGUGAAAGCCCUGGGCUCAACCUGGGAAUGGCAUUGGAAACUGGCGAUCUAGAGUGCGGUAGAGGGUAGUGGAAUUCCCGGUGUAGCAGUGAAAUGCGUAGAGAUCGGGAGGAACAUCUGUGGCGAAGGCGACUGCCUGGACCAGCACUGACACUGAGGCACGAAAGCGUGGGGAGCAAACAGGAUUAGAAACCCUGGUAGUCC